UCUGAGGAAAACUAGGAUUUCCUAAGAAAAUGGCGCCUGAUAUUGAAAAAUCGAGCUCCAAAGGACAGGCAUGGUUUUGUACUACGGGGUUGCCUAGCGACAUUGUCAUCAAAGUCGAAAACAUGACUUUCCAUCUCCAUAAGUUUCCUCUAAUAUCGAAAAUUAGAAAGCUUCAUCAGCUGGUUACUGAGCAAGCAAACAAUCCUAGUAGAAGAUGACGAAGUUCUGCUGCAGAACUAGAGCUUCAAGUAUUAGGAGAAGGAGAGGAGGAUGGAGAAAGAGAUGAUAUCUUAGAGGAGCCCUGUGAGAUCUCUAUUCCAGAAUUUCCGGGUGGUUCUCAGGCAUUCGAGACCGCGACAAAGUUCUGCUAUGGAGUGAAGAUCGACCUCAUAGCUUCCGAUGUAGCUCCCCUUCGUUGUGCCGGAGAGUAUCUCGAAAUGAUGGAAGAGUACUUUGGAAAAUAACCUCAUCUCCAAAACUGAAAGUUUCUUAACCCAAUCAAUUCUCAGAAACAUCGAAGAAUCCAUUAAGACCUUGAAAUCCUGUGAAGCAC
This is a long non-coding RNA of Telopea speciosissima, 553 nucleotides long. RefSeq lists it as uncharacterized. Lineage: Eukaryota; Viridiplantae; Streptophyta; Magnoliopsida; Proteales; Proteaceae. The record is from RefSeq and is a predicted model, not a curated record. The transcript has 3 exons.